Non-coding RNA from Chiloscyllium plagiosum (whitespotted bambooshark), 1188 nucleotides. The record is from RefSeq and is a predicted model, not a curated record. NCBI's taxonomy places the organism in Eukaryota, Metazoa, Chordata, Chondrichthyes, Orectolobiformes, Hemiscylliidae.
GUUAAUGUGAGGGAGGAGGUCUUGUUCUAAGAAACAUUAAAGUGAGAUAUCAUGGCAAAGCAGAUUUCAGAAGCUCCUCUGGCCUGCAGCCUGGCAUUCCUGACAGUGUUUCCUUUUAAGUAGCCGAUUGGUGGUCAUCUUGUAAGGUACAACCUCGAUAGUUCUGACUGCAAUCUUCCAGUGCAAACAACAAUCUCCGAAGAGCUCUUCAUUGAUUCGUUCCUUGUGCGAGUCUUUUGAACAAAUGAAUCUCAACCCUGCAGUCUUCCCAAUUAUCCACUACUUUCAUUGUCCUAAACUUGUGCAUGUGGUGUAAAGACUUCAAUAUCAUUGUCAUGCUGUUGGAAUCGAUGCUCCUCACCUCUUCUUAGAUGUUGCAACUUCACCAUUCAACAGUUUUUCUCCAUCAGAUCUUCGCCUCACUGGAAAGUAUUUUGAAAGAGAUAUGAAAUCCAGUGGAAACUGUAACCUCUUGGUGGACAAACCAGUGAAUACAAGAGUGGUAAUGUAAUGCAGGAACAAUGCUGGAUGUCUAAUGUGCAUUCUGUUGAUCACAUUGCAGGGAAGGCAUAAUUUCUGUAGAGAGAUUACAUAGGAGAUUUACAAGAAUAUUACUAGCACUUUAAAAUUCAAGUAUGAGAAAAGAUUGAACAGGCUAUGGUUAUUUUCUUAGAAUAGAUGAGGCUGAGGGGAUAGAACCAAAGGAAAUUUUAAAAGUAUCCUACUCCGCCAAUUCUGCCUUCUUGUGAAGUCUUGGUUUCCAUCAUUCACUUACCGACUGGCAUAGCUUCAUUUGCCUAGCUGCUUAAAUUUCAAGGAACAAGAUGUAAUCUUAUGGAAGCAUAUAAGAUUCUGAAUAGGAAUCAGUGGACAGUGUAGAUACUGAUAGAUUGUUUCCACAGAUAAAUGAAUGUUAAACAUAGGGCCACAGUCUCAGGGGAAGUGACCAAUCAUUCAGGACUGAGAAGAAGAGAAAUUAUUUCGAUCAAAGGGUUGUGAAUCUUUCAAAUUCUCCCCCCAGAAGUUUGCAGAUACUCUAUUGUUGAAUGCAUCUAAGGCUGGAAGAGAAAGAUUAUUGGUAACUCAGGGAACUAAGGGGUUGGGGAGAAGCUGGAAAAGUGGAGUUGGAAUUGAAGAACAAUCAUGAUCUUAUGCAAUCUUGAUGGGUCUAUAGACUUAUUCUCUUAA